UUGUUUUCCUUGCCUUAAUGAACACGUUCUCUGGAUCUACCUCACAUUUGGUCCAUCACAUCAGAGGGGUGAUGUUAGAGUGUCUGGUUGGCUUCGGUGGAUCUAAGAUGAUGAAAUGAAGUCAUACAAGUUUGGACCAAAAUGAGGGUGAACUACCCCUUUUAAUGUGUCUGUGCAACACUGACCCAAAACCAAUUCCAUCAGUUUGUGGCAGACAGUGGGAGUGCUGUGAAGGAAAACCUGUCGGAAAACAGGGGCCAUCAGGCAGUGGGUAAACAGGAGGAGCUUAAAAAACUCACCUUCUCCCCUCCCCUCAAACUGCAUCUCGUGGAUGACACACAUGAAUUACGGCAUCAGCCGACAGUGUGUCGACAGCGACACCAGCGCAGCGUAUGUUUUUUACAGCCCUCGCAAGUGUGCAGCUGUUAGCCUCAGUGUAAACAGCAGACCCAAUUCACACCUUCAGUCAGACGUCUCCGAGCACCUCCUAUGCUAAUAAGAUUUAUUGAAAAUUUCAAACUGAG
Molecule: long non-coding RNA, 524 nt
Organism: Cyprinus carpio carpio
Lineage: Eukaryota; Metazoa; Chordata; Actinopteri; Cypriniformes; Cyprinidae
Source: Ensembl